CCUACGGGUGGCAGCAGUGGGGAAUAUUGCACAAUGGCCGAAACCCUGAUCCAGCGACGCCGCGUGAACGACGAAGUAUUUCGGUAUGUAAAGCUCUAUCAGCCGGGAAGAAAAAUACGGUACCUGACUAAGACGCACCGGCUAACUACGUACAAGCAGCCGCGGUAAUACGUAGGGGGCAAGCGUUAUCCGGAUUUACUGGGGGUAAAGGGAGCGUAGACGGUCCUACAAGCCAGAUGUGAAAGCCCGCGGCUCAACCCGAGGACUGCAUUUGGUACUGUAAUGCUAGAGUGUAGUAGAGGUAGGCGGAAUUCGUAGUGUAGCGGUGAAAUGCUUAGAUAUCAGGAGGAACACCGAUUGCGAAGGCGGCCUGCUGGACGAUGACUGACGCUGAGGCUCGAAAGCGUGGGUAUCAAACAGGAUUAGAUACCCCUGUAGUC
RNAcentral lists this ribosomal RNA (440 nucleotides) under uncultured bacterium. RNAcentral's name for it is "partial 16S ribosomal RNA". It matches the Rfam family "Bacterial small subunit ribosomal RNA", at positions 338 to 795 of the family's 1533-position model. The record is from RNAcentral.